RNAcentral lists this ribosomal RNA (561 nucleotides) under Daphnia neocitrina. RNAcentral's name for it is "partial 12S ribosomal RNA". The record is from RNAcentral. Lineage: Eukaryota; Metazoa; Arthropoda; Branchiopoda; Diplostraca; Daphniidae.
GGUUAGACGAAGAAUCUAAAUAGAGUGACUUGUUAAUAUAAUUAACAGUUAAUAAUGUAAAGUAAAAUUAAUUUUUUUUAAAGGUGAAAUUUGUAUAAGAAAAUAAAUUAUCUUAACUUAUUUGUAGGAAUUAAAAAAUGAAGAAAAGAGACCAGGAUUAGAUACCCUGUUAUUCUUCAUAAUAUUUAAUGGGGUAGUAAAAGUUAUUCUUCAAACCCAAAGAUUUUGGCGGCACUUUACCCAAACAGAGGAGCUUGUCUUAUAAUCGAUAGUCCCCGUUUUACCUUACCUUUAUUAUUGAGCUUGUAUACCUCCGUUGUCAGAUUACUCUAAAAGGAUGUUUUCUUUACAAAUAUUAUUUUGUACUUCAGGUCAAGGUGCAGUUUAUGUGAAGGAAAUGAUGAGCUACAAUUUUUUUAAAAAAACGAAUAUUAAAUUAAAAUUUGAUUGAAGGUGGAUUUGUUAGUAAAUUUAAUUUAAGAAAAAUUAAUUGAAUAAGGCAAUAAGGUGUGUACAUAUCGCCCGUCACUCUCUCCCCAAGGAGAGAUAAGUCGUAACAAA